GUUCAUUUCGUUUUAAUCUGGGCCGUUCGUUUUUGAUUGAAUCUGGGCCGUCCGAUCGCGCGAUUGAUCUGGGCCGUCGGAUCGCACCCACGCGGAUCGCCAACGUGGCUCCUUUCGGAGUGACGCGAUCUUGCCACGUGGCAGGCCCUGGUUGGCCGGGACUGCUGACCGGGCCUGCUGACGUGGCUGCUGACGUGGCCCCCCCCCU
RNAcentral lists this long non-coding RNA (208 nucleotides) under Carica papaya (papaya). RNAcentral describes it as "long non-coding RNA (CPAP_LNC011424)". Lineage: Eukaryota; Viridiplantae; Streptophyta; Magnoliopsida; Brassicales; Caricaceae. The record is from RNAcentral.